This 843-nucleotide ribosomal RNA is filed under the name uncultured bacterium. RNAcentral describes it as "bacterial SSU rRNA". It matches the Rfam family "Bacterial small subunit ribosomal RNA", at positions 30 to 873 of the family's 1533-position model. The record is from RNAcentral.
UUAACGCUGGCGGCGUGCCUAACACAUGCAAGUCGAGCGAAGAGUACCAGAAUAUCGGGCUCUUAGCGGCAGACGGGUGAGUAACACGUAAACUAUCUGCCCUCGAAUGGGAGACAACCUGGCGAAAGCCUGGCUAAUACCCCAUACAAUCCUCUGGAGGCAUCUCGAGGGGAUGAAAGGCCCGCAAGGGUCGUUCGAGGAGGAGUUUGCGGCCUAUCAGCUAGUUGGCGGUGUAACGGACCACCAAGGCUAUGACGGGUAGCCGAUCUAAAAGGAUGACCGGCCACAAGGGCACUGAGACACGGGCCCUACUCCUACGGGAGGCAGCAGUGGGGAAUUUUGGACAAUGGACGAAAGUCUGAUCCAGCGACGCCGCGUGAAGGACGAAGGUUUUCGGAUCGUAAACUUCUUUUGCAGGGGACGAAUACGCGCAAGCGUUUGACGGUACUCUGCGAAUAAGCCACGGCUAACUACGUGCCAGCAGCCGCGGUAAUACGUAGGUGGCGAGCGUUACUCGGAAUUACUAGGCGUAAAGCGCGUGUAGGCGGGAGCUUAAGUCUGCUGUUAAAUCUCAUAGCUCAACUAUGAAAUGCCGGCAGAUACUGGGCUUCUUGAAUUCGGUAGAGGUAACUGGAAUUCCAGGUGUAGCGGUGAAAUGCGUAGAUAUCUGGAAGAACGCCAAAGGCGAAGGCAGGUUACUGGGCCGCAAUUGACGCUGAGACGCGAAAGCGAGGGGAGCAAACAGGAUUAGAUACCCUGGUAGUCCUCGCCGUAAACGAUGUAGACCAGGUGUGGGAGGUAUCGACCCCUUCCGUGCCGACGCUAACGCAUAAGUCUACCGCC